Long non-coding RNA from Gigantopelta aegis, 405 nucleotides. RefSeq lists it as uncharacterized. NCBI's taxonomy places the organism in Eukaryota, Metazoa, Mollusca, Gastropoda, Neomphalida, Peltospiridae. The transcript has 2 exons. The record is from RefSeq and is a predicted model, not a curated record.
CUAGUGGUAUGGAUAAACAAAACAAACUUUAAGUUUGUCUUCCAUUGGGUAAUACUAAUUAUUUUAAAAUCUCAUAAUGGAUGGAAAAUAUUAUUUUUAUGCCUAAGCAUAAAAUAAACUCCCAAUAAUACUGAUUCCAUUAAGCACUAUCAUGUAGAGUAUUGUGUAAACCUCUGAUGAACAAGUACAAUAGUAAUUUUUAGCUAUGACAACUGAAUACUAUAUCAGUAUUAUGUUCCUUGUUUCAGAACAAUGUCUGGCAGAAGAACCAGAGAUGCUGUAACAGAAGUAUUUAAUACAGUAAGUUAAAAGCCAAAUAAUAAGAAGACAACGAAGAAAGACCGUUACAGUAGUGUCUGAUAUAUUUUAUGUAUUUGUAGAAUAAAAUAAAAUUAUCAAGAUAUA